This 253-nucleotide ribosomal RNA is filed under the name uncultured bacterium. RNAcentral's name for it is "partial 16S ribosomal RNA". It matches the Rfam family "Bacterial small subunit ribosomal RNA", at positions 524 to 776 of the family's 1533-position model. The record is from RNAcentral.
GACGAACCGUGCGAACGUUAUUCGGAAUUACUGGGCAUAAAGGGUGCGUAGGUGGCUUGUUAAGUCAGGGGUGAAAGUUUUCGGCCCAACCGGAAAAUGGCCUUUGAUACUGGCGAGCUCGAGUGCGUGAGGGGUAACCGGAACGAGCAGUGUAGCGGUGAAAUGCGUAGAUAUUGCUCGGAAGGCCAACGGCGAAGGCAGGUUACUGGUGCGCAACUGACACUGAGGCACGAAAGCGUGGGGAGCAAACAGG